RNAcentral lists this long non-coding RNA (1422 nucleotides) under Vitis vinifera (wine grape). RNAcentral describes it as "long non-coding RNA (VVIN_LNC001777)". Lineage: Eukaryota; Viridiplantae; Streptophyta; Magnoliopsida; Vitales; Vitaceae. The record is from RNAcentral.
CUAUGGCUUCCUCUUCUUUCUCCAUUGUUGUUGUGGCAUUGGGUGUCCUCGCGCUCUUUGCGGGGAGCUCUUCUGCUCAACUCUCGACCAACUUUUACUCUAAAACUUGUCCUAAGGUCUUUGAUACUGUGAAAUCUGGAGUUCAAUCGGCGGUUUCGAAAGAACGCCGCAUGGGCGCUUCUCUCCUCCGUCUCUUCUUCCAUGAUUGCUUUGUCAAUGUAAUCCUUCUAGCUUCUUGUUCUUAGUGUAUGGGCCUGAGUGUUGGGUCAUGCAUGUUUCAUAUUUGAAGUCUAAGAAAAAUCUUAGAUAAGGUCAUAGGGAUUCUUAGCUCAAUUUUGGGUUAAUUUGGGAGUGUCUUUUACGAGGUUGCUGUUUUAAUUUUUGUUCUUAGGUUUUUUAUUUUCCGGAGUCUUGGGCCUUGCCGACAUCCAACCUUCACAUUAAACAUGUACUACUUUUUUCUUUGGUCAAAGGGGUAGCCCGAAUAGCUACUGCAUGAGGUGUAGGUUAAACAGAUUGGCUGGGAAGGUCGUAGUUAAACACUUGAACUCACCUCGAGAUUCGUUCUUGACCAGGUCAAGAGCUUCUUAAUAUGCUUUUAGGUGCAUUUAUAGUUUAACAUGGUAUCAAACUUGUCCUUAAAGUCGUGAGUUUGAGAGAGUUUGUAGAUCAUUAUUUCAAACCUAUCUUUGAGGCAAGAAGGUGUCGGGACUAACUUGGAUUAGCCUGAUAUACAUUGUUGGUCCAUAAUGAUAAUAGUUCAAACUGUUGGUAGCUUAAUAUGCAUAGUAUUAAAUUUACCCAUGAAGUCAUGAUAUACAUUAUUGACUUACUAUCUAACCAUUCUAAGUUUUUGAAAUAUAGUUUUACUAAAUUGUUAUGCUUUUAGGGACUAAUUCUUUUUGUUUCUAGCCAUGCCCUGGAAAAUGAAAUUUGAAAUGAAAAGGCCUGGUUGCUAGAACACCCCAAUUUUCAAAUGAAAUGGCCUAGAUACAGCUUGAGAAGAAAUAAAAAGUCAACAGGCUUAAAAGAGGUGGUGUCCUCAACUAAAAAAAAAAAAAAAAAAAAUCACAAAAAAUCAUCUUAAUAAUUAAUAUCUGCUUCAGACUGUUGUUCUCCAUUAAUUUAUCAUAGAAAGUAAACGAUACAAGCUAGCUAUAGUUAUUAAUAUGACCAAUUCAUACUUACUCUGUUUGAUGCUUGGUGUUUAAUUACAGGGCUGCGAUGCAUCAGUCCUCCUCGACGACACCUCUUCCUUCACUGGCGAGCAGACCGCCGUCCCCAAUAAGAACUCCAUCAGAGGCCUAAAUGUGAUCGAUAACAUAAAGUCGCAGGUGGAGAGCGUGUGCCCUGGUGUAGUCUCCUGUGCCGAUAUCAUAGCCAUUGCUGCUCGCGACUCGGUCGUGAUUGUGAGUUCAUAAU